This 468-nucleotide ribosomal RNA is filed under the name uncultured bacterium. RNAcentral describes it as "partial 16S ribosomal RNA". It matches the Rfam family "Bacterial small subunit ribosomal RNA", at positions 28 to 507 of the family's 1533-position model. The record is from RNAcentral.
GACGAACGCUGGCGGCGUGCUUAACACAUGCAAGUCGAACGGAAAGGCCCUGCUUUUGUGGGUUUCUCGAUUGGCGAACGGGUGAGUAACACGUGAGUAACCUGCCCUUGACUUUGGGAUAACUUCAGGAAACUGGGGCUCAUACCGGAUAUGAGCUCCUGCUGCAUGGUGGUGGUUGGAAAGUUUCGGCGGUUGGGGAUCGACUGGAGGCUUAUCAGCUUGUUUGUGGGGUAGUUGCUUACCAAGGCUUUGACGGGUAGCCGGCCUGAGAGGGUUACCGGCGACAUGGGGACUGAGAGACGGACCAGAAUGGUAUGUGAGGCAGCAGUGGGGAAUAUGGCAGAAUGAGCGGAAGUCUGAUGCAGAAACGCCGGGAGCGGGAUAACGGGCUUCGGGGGGUAAACAGAUUUGGAAGGUGACGAAGAGUGAGUGACGGUAAUGAGUAAAGAAGCAACGGCUAACUACGUG